This 497-nucleotide ribosomal RNA is filed under the name uncultured bacterium. RNAcentral describes it as "partial 16S ribosomal RNA". It matches the Rfam family "Bacterial small subunit ribosomal RNA", at positions 28 to 507 of the family's 1533-position model. The record is from RNAcentral.
GAUGAACGCUGGCGGCGUGCCUAAUACAUGCAAGUCGAGCGAACAGACGAGGAGCUUGCUCCUCUGACGUUAGCGGCGGACGGGUGAGUAACACGUGGAUCACCUACCUAUAAGACUGGGAUAAAUUCGGGAAAACGGAGCUAAUAACGGAAAAUAUAUUGAACCGCAUGGUUCAAUAGUGAAAGACGGUUUUGCUGUCACUUAUAGAUGGAUCCGCGCCGCAUUAGCUAGUUGGUACGGUAACGGCUUACCAAGGCAACGAUGCGUGGCCGACCUGAGAGGGGGUUCGCCCACACUGGAACUUAGACACGGUCCAGACUCCUACGGGAGGCAGCAGUAGGGAAUCUUCCGCAAUGGGCGAAAGCCUGACGGAGCACCCCCGCGUGAGUGAUGAAGGUCUUCGGUUCGUAAAACUCUCUUAUGGGGGAAGAACAAAUGUGUAAGUAACUGUGCACGUCUUGACGGUACCUAGUCAGAAAGCCACGGCUAACUACGUG